AUCCAGCUGACGAGUCCCAAAUAGGACGAAAUGUGCCUACUGAAU
Molecule: non-coding RNA, 45 nt
Filed under: Schistosoma curassoni
Lineage: Eukaryota; Metazoa; Platyhelminthes; Trematoda; Strigeidida; Schistosomatidae
Source: RNAcentral